GAGAGCUUGCUCUCUGGGUGGCGAGUGGCGGACGGGUGAGGAAUACAUCGGAAUCUACCUAGUCGUGGGGGAUAACGUAGGGAAACUUACGCUAAUACCGCAUACGACCUUCGGGUGAAAGUGGGGGACCUUCGGGCCUCACGCGAUUAGAUGAGCCGAUGUCGGAUUAGCUAGUUGGAGGGGUAAUGGCCCACCAAGGCGACGAUCCGUAGCUGGUCUGAGAGGAUGAUCAGCCACACUGGGACUGAGACACGGCCCAGACUCCUACGGGAGGCAGCAGUGGGGAAUAUUGGACAAUGGGCGAAAGCCUGAUCCAGCCAUGCCGCGUGAAUGAUGAAGGCCUUAGGGUUGUAAAGUUCUUUCGUUGGUGAAGAUAAUGACGGUAACCAAAGAAGAAGCUCCGGCUAACUUCGUGCCAGCAGCCGCGGUAAUACGAAGGGGGCUAGCGUUGUUCGGAAUCACUGGGCGUAAAGCGCGCGUAGGCGGUCUAUCAAGUCAGAGGUGAAAUGCCGGGGCUCAACCCCGGAACUGCCUUUGAAACUGAUAGACUGGAAUCUUGGGGGGGGUAGUGGAAUUCCUAGUGUAGAGGUGAAAUUCGUAGAUACUAGGAGGAACACCGGUGGCGAAGGCGGCUACCUGGACAAGUAUUGACGCUGAGGCGCGAAAGCGUGGGGGAGCAAACAGGAUUAGAUACCCUGGUAGUCCACGCCGUAAACGAUGAGUGCUAGCCGUUGGGUUUUCGGACUCGGUGGCGCAGCUAACGCAUUAAGCACUCCGCCUGGGGAGUACGGUCGCAAGAUUAAAACUCAGAGGAAUUGACGGGGACCCGCACAAGCGGUGGAGCAUGUGGUUUAACUCGAGGCAACGCGAAAAACCUUACCA
RNAcentral lists this ribosomal RNA (882 nucleotides) under uncultured bacterium. RNAcentral describes it as "bacterial SSU rRNA". It matches the Rfam family "Bacterial small subunit ribosomal RNA", at positions 74 to 976 of the family's 1533-position model. The record is from RNAcentral.